UUAUAGCUAAAAAAAUUUACAAAUGCAAUAAAAAUGCAUUGAUAAUGACUGGAUUCGCAAAAUAUAGAUCAUGAUUUGCAUAUCCCACUUCACCAAUAAUUACAUAUACCAUCUACAACCACUAUCUCCACCUGUUCCACCAGGUAGCCUCUUUUCCCCUACAAUGGGUACCCAAUAUUAUCAUAUUAUUGCCUUUGGUGGAAAAUGGGACCAUAACUGUUAUUAUUUAGUCAAGUACCUUUUUUCCUUUCUGGUUGGUAAUCGGUACCAGGCCCUGCAAGAUAUUGAAAGACAAAAAGAUCACUGUACACUCUUCAGUCCUCCACAUGUGCAGGCUUGAGUUUCGUCAUCUGUUUCCUGUAGCAUUCAUUUACGGUGGAGGAACUUUUGCUUUUUUAUAUAUGCUUUUCUUUAUAGUAUAUAAGAGGGGAAGUUGAUGGUUGAUUGGGAAGCAAGGAAAGCGAUGUUGGUGAGGUUCAAUCCGAUGACGGAUUUACGUGUGGAAGUGUCGUAAAAGACGAUCUCAGAUUGAGCCGCGCCAAUAUCACUUUCUGUAUGAGUUUUUUUCAUUUGCUUUCCCACUCAAAAACUCAGUUUCUCUUGAACACAUGUUUUAACUGAUAUCCAGUUUUUUACUUUUUUUGCAUGAUGUUGCAUGUUUUGUCUUUAUAAUUAGACCAAAAUAUUUAUGCUUCUAUUUUUAUCCCUUAUAUAUAUAUAUGCCACAAUUUUAUGUAUGUCAAUUGCAUUAAUAUAUGUAAUAUCUCUCUUCUUAAAGUAUUUGUUUUUGUCUAGAGUAUUCAGGUUUGAGGGUAUCCCACAAUAUAGUGAACGUGGUUGAUAUAACAUUGAGUUGAACUCUUCUUCUUCUUCUUUUAUUUUAUUUUUUUAAAAUUUUGCAAGGUAAAUAGGGGGAGGGUGCUGAACGCUGAUGAUGAGGUUCGAAACCUAGUGCCCAAAUUAACAUCACUAAAGGUGUCCUUGAGGUUAAAGAUAGAAGUUUGUUGCUCAUUGGGUAAGUUUUCAGAAUUUGGUCAAGCGAAAUUUAUGAUUAGUCAAGUAAAAAUAAUAAUUUUGGAUAGAAACUUUCGCUUGAGUGAAUCCUUUAAGGAAAGCACUAACUGGGUUUUCACUACUGUUUUUGUGGCCAAUCAUAUAUACUUCAUAACCCUCACCUAUAAGCAUGGAAAUUUAACCCUAAUAUUCAAAGAAGGAUGACAUCUGCACAAAACCUAAAAAACACAAUUUGAAGCCUUCUAGUUAUUCCUGCCUUUUAUAUUGCCUAUGCUUGAGAGGUUUUACACUACCAAAAGAUCACCUACUAUGUUGUUGGAAUGCUAUUUGAAACCACAAAGACUAUACACAUCUUAAAGAAGUCUUGAAGUAAUAAACAAAUUGGCUUGGCAGUCGGCGAAUUGAUUCUCAGCAUCAGGUGAUUGUAAAGGAUCAAAGCAAGAGUUUAUAGUUGCUAGUAGAAGUGGGGAGCUGGGGUACGCUGUCUAUCUACUUGUUCGAAAAGUCUAGUGAGUAUCUGUACCCACAACAACCUUCAUAGUGGAUUUGAUGAGCUAGGUUUUGCCCUGAAGUAUUUUUACCUAUUCGGUUUUUUCUCUGUGAACAAAUCUUAUCUCUAUAUGUAUGAGUUGUUCAUGUUUUUUUUUUUUUUUUUUGAUAAACUGUAUGAGUUGUUCAUGUGAUGUUAUUAUAAGCUUGACUAUUCAUGAUACAUUGCAUAUAUGGACUUAAUAACUGAACAAAUAAUUAAUGAGAAUUGAUACUCUCUCUA
Molecule: long non-coding RNA, 1786 nt
Organism: Quercus robur (English oak)
Lineage: Eukaryota; Viridiplantae; Streptophyta; Magnoliopsida; Fagales; Fagaceae
Exons: 2
Source: RefSeq, a predicted model, not a curated record